RNAcentral lists this transfer RNA (72 nucleotides) under Camelus bactrianus (Bactrian camel). It matches the Rfam family "tRNA". From Rfam's summary of the family: Transfer RNA (tRNA) molecules are approximately 80 nucleotides in length. Lineage: Eukaryota; Metazoa; Chordata; Mammalia; Artiodactyla; Camelidae. The record is from Rfam by way of RNAcentral. RNAcentral also lists the same sequence under 2 other names.
AGAGGCAUAACUCAGUGGUAGAGUGUGUGCUUAGCAUGCACGAGGUCCUGGGUUCAAUCCCCAGUACCUCCA